Molecule: ribosomal RNA, 253 nt
Filed under: uncultured bacterium
Lineage: Bacteria
Description: partial 16S ribosomal RNA
Rfam family: Bacterial small subunit ribosomal RNA
Source: RNAcentral
UACGGGGGGGGCAAGCGUUGUUCGGAAUUACUGGGCGUAAAGGGCGCGUAGGCGGCCUUAUAAGUCUCGUGUGAAAGCCCUCGGCUUAACUGAGGAUCUGCACGGGAUACUGUAAGGCUCGAGUUCGGGAGAGGAAAGCGGAAUUCCGGGUGUAGCGGUGAAAUGCGUAGAUAUCCGGAGGAACACCAGUGGCGAAGGCGGCUUUCUGGACCGACACUGACGCUGAGGCGCGAAAGCUAGGGGAGCAAACGGG